GACAGAGGGUGCAAACGUUGUUCGGAAUUACUGGGCGUAAAGCGUGUGUAGGCUGCUACAUAAGUCGGAUGUGAAAGCCCCGGGCUCAACCCGGGAAGUGCACUCGAUACUGCGUAGCUUGAGUCUCGGAGAGGUUGGUGGAAUUCUCGGUGUAGAGGUGAAAUUCGUAGAUAUCGAGAGGAACACCGGUGGCGAAGGCGGCCAACUGGACGAAGACUGACGCUGAGACACGAAAGCGUGGGGAGCGAACAGG
RNAcentral lists this ribosomal RNA (253 nucleotides) under uncultured bacterium. RNAcentral describes it as "partial 16S ribosomal RNA". It matches the Rfam family "Bacterial small subunit ribosomal RNA", at positions 524 to 776 of the family's 1533-position model. The record is from RNAcentral.